GCGAUCGUGGUCUAGUGGCAUGAUUCAACCUUGCCAAGGUUGUGGCCCGGGUCCGAUUCCCGGCGGUCGCA
Molecule: transfer RNA, 71 nt
Filed under: archaeon
Lineage: Archaea
Description: tRNA-Gly
Rfam family: tRNA
About the family: Transfer RNA (tRNA) molecules are approximately 80 nucleotides in length. Their secondary structure includes four short double-helical elements and three loops (D, anti-codon, and T loops).
Source: RNAcentral